GUCCCGUCUGACAACAGCAUGCUCACGUCACUCCAGGACUGUUUUCACGUGAGGAGAAAAAGAGGAGAGAUUUAAAGUUGCACCAGUCGAAGCUCUCUGCAUCUUGUGUCAUUGAUCCAGGUGUGAGCUGGCUCCACUAAAAAAAAAAGUUGGGAGUUGAACUUUCAGAGGCGCCAUGACGGUGAGGUCCAAUUAACAGCUGAUUUGCUGCAGGUGGAGCUGUGAGUCCAAGCAGAUGGCGUCUCACAUCAGGACCACUGCCAUUUCCUUCUUGGCGUUGAAGGUGUGACUGCUUCUCCUGACACACUUACCUCUC
Long non-coding RNA from Nerophis lumbriciformis (worm pipefish), 316 nucleotides. RefSeq lists it as uncharacterized. The record is from RefSeq and is a predicted model, not a curated record. NCBI's taxonomy places the organism in Eukaryota, Metazoa, Chordata, Actinopteri, Syngnathiformes, Syngnathidae.